RNAcentral lists this ribosomal RNA (552 nucleotides) under uncultured ciliate. RNAcentral describes it as "SSU rRNA". It matches the Rfam family "Eukaryotic small subunit ribosomal RNA", at positions 4 to 565 of the family's 1831-position model. Lineage: Eukaryota; Ciliophora. The record is from RNAcentral.
CUGGUUGAUCCUGCCAGUAGUCAUAUGCUUGUCUCAAAGACUAAGCCAUGCAUGUCUAAGUAUAAAUGUUAUACAGUGAAACUGCGAAUGGCUCAUUAAAACAGUUAUAGUUUAUUUGAUAAUCGAAUUUACAUGGAUAACCGUGGUAAUUCUAGAGCUAAUACAUGCUGGUUAGCCUGACUUCGAGAAAGGGCUGUAUUUAUUAGAUAACAAACCAAUAUUCUUCGUGUCUAUUGUGAUGACUCAUAAUAACUGAUCGAAUCGCAUGGUCCUUGACCGCGAUAAAUCAUUCAAGUUUCUGCCCCAUCAGCUUUCGAUGGUAGUGUAUUGGACUACCAUGGCUUUAACGGGUAACGGAGGAUUAGGGUUCGAUUCCGGAGAGGGAGCCUGAGAAACGGCUACCACAUCUAAGGAAGGCAGCAGGCGCGUAAAUUACCCAAUCCUGACUCAGGGAGGUAGUGACAAGAAAUAACGGACCGAGGCUUUGCUUCGGGAUUGCAAUGAGUAGAAUUUAAACCCCUUUACGAGGAUCCAUUGGAGGGCAAGUCUGGU